UACAGAGGUCUCAAGCGUUGUUCGGAUUCAUUGGGCGUAAAGGGUGCGUAGGCGGCGCGGUAAGUCGGGUGUGAAAUCCCGAGGCUCAACCUCGGAACUGCCUUCGAUACUGCGGGUCUCGAGUCCGGGAGAGGUGAGUGGAAUUCCUAGUGUAGAGGUGAAAUUCGUAGAUAUUAGGAAGAACACCAGUGGCGAAGGCGGCUCACUGGCCCGGUACUGACGCUGAGGCGCGAAAGCGUGGGGAGCAAACAGG
This 253-nucleotide ribosomal RNA is filed under the name uncultured bacterium. RNAcentral describes it as "partial 16S ribosomal RNA". It matches the Rfam family "Bacterial small subunit ribosomal RNA", at positions 524 to 776 of the family's 1533-position model. The record is from RNAcentral.